RNAcentral lists this ribosomal RNA (465 nucleotides) under uncultured bacterium. RNAcentral describes it as "partial 16S ribosomal RNA". It matches the Rfam family "Bacterial small subunit ribosomal RNA", at positions 28 to 507 of the family's 1533-position model. The record is from RNAcentral.
GAUGAACGCUGGCGGCGUGCUUAACACAUGCAAGUCGAACGGAAAAGCCGGACUUUCCUCUGCCUCAUGAGUGGCGAACGUGUGUGUAACACGUGUGCAAUCCGCUCCACAUCCGGGGAAAAGCGCGGGAAAGGGUGUAUAACACGGGAGACGAGCUCCUAAGGGAGGUUGUUGAACUGGUAAUUAGGUGGGGGAGGGGUGAGCGGGCUAUCUGCUUGUUGGUUGGGUAAUGGGCUACCAAGGCGGCGACGGGUAGCCGGCCUGAGAGGGUGGACGGCCACAAUGGGACUGAGAUAAGGCCCAGACUCCUACGGGAGGCAGCAGGGGGGAAUAUUGCACAAUGGGCGCAAGCCUGAUGCAGCGACGCCGCGUGGGGGAUGAAGGCCUUCGGGUUGUAAACUCCUUUCGCUAGGGAAGAAGCUUUUUGUGACGGUACCUAGAUAAGAAGCACCGGCUAACUACGUG